UUUUUUUUUUUUUUUUUUUUUUUUUAGGACUAUAUCCAAGGCAUAUGGGCAUAUAGAAGUUCCCACUCUAGGGGUCAAAUCGGAGCUACAGAUGCCAGGCUACACCACAGCCACAGCAAUGUGAGAUCUGAGCCGCAUCUUCAAGCUACACCACAGCUCAUAGCAAUGCUGGAUCCUUAACCCACUGAGUGAGGCCAGGGAUCAAACUUGCCUCCUCAUGGAUACUAACCAGGUUCAUUUCCGAUGGCCCACAGUGGGAACUCCUCUAGACAUCAUAUAUAUUUUUUUAUUUUAUUAUUUAUUUAUUUAUUGUCUUUUUAGGGCCAUACCCAUGGCAUAUGGAAGUUCCCAGGCUAGGGGUCGAAUUGGAGCUGCAGCUGCCUUCCUAAGCCACAGCCGCAGCAACACCUGGUCUGAGCCAAAUUUGUGACCUGCACCACAGCUCACUGCAAUGCCAGAUCCUUAAUCCACUGAGAGUGGCCAGGGAUCAAACCUGUGUCCUCAAGGUUACUAGUCAGGUUCAUUAUAGCUGAGCCACAACAGGAACUCCUUUCUUUCUUUCUUUCUUUCUUUUUUUUUUUUUUUUGACAUGAUGUAUUUUAAACAAUUAUAUUGAGAUAUAAUUCACAAACCAUAUAAUUUAUCCAUUAAAAGCGUAUAAUUCAAUGGCUUCCAGUAUAUUCACAGAGUCAUGUAACUAUGACAAUAAUCAAUUCUAGAACAUUUUCAUCACCCCAAAAAGAAACCCCAUGCCCUAUAACCAUUAUUCCCCCAAUCUUUUCACUCUCCCUCCUACCCCUAGUCCUAGGCAAUCAAUAACUUACUUUCUGUCUCUAUAGAUUUACCCAUUUUGGACAGUUUAUGUAGAAGGAACCAUGAAGUAUAUGGUCUUUUGUCACUGCCUUCUUUCACUUAGCAUAAAAAUUUCAAGGUUCAUCCAUGUUAUAGCACAUAUCAUACUUCAGUUCUUUUUAUUGCUGAAUAAUAAUACUGAGCAUCAGAUGUUAAGAGAGUUAGAGACAUAUGCUAAAGACAAAUUGGGGCACACUCAGCUGAGAGUCUAGGUCUUAACUCAAAACUGUGUCAUAAGGAAUAAUUGAAGAAACCAAGGUUACUUAAUGCAGGAAUAAGAAGAUACAGUGACUUGAUAUCUAUUUACAAAUGACUGAAGAAAUAGCAUAAUUCAGAGAUAAUUGACAUUUUCUGUCUGAAUAUAGGUAGCAGAUUUAAGAACUAUUGGAAGAAGCUGUAGCAAACAAAUUUUACCUUGAAGUUAAAAAAAUGUAUACAAUUUCCCCCAAAGGAAAUAGAGAACCUCUGAAACACAUAUAUUCUUGACUAAGAUGUAAAAAUCUAGACCGGAUGAUCACAAACUGGGAAAGAUCUAGAGAAAGAUGAACUUUUGGCAUCCCUUUCAACCUUGAAAUUCUAUAUCAUUCAGAAGUCGAAUGGGAUUAGUGUCAGAACUGAGGUUAAAACUCAGAAACUCCUGGCUUCCAAACUUUUGCCCUACUCAGCCAUCACAUACACAAGCAAAAGUGAGAAAAGAGAGUUUAUCUAAGAUAAGUUGGCUUGGUGUGUUGAUGGAUUACUGUGGGGAUAAGGAGGAACCAAAGAAGAAGAGAGAAGUGGGACAACCUGACAUGUAUUCACACAUACGCAUGCGCGCGCGCGCGCACACACACACACACACACACACACACACACACACACACACACACACCAAGAGAUAACUGAAGGGCAAUGUGUAUCUUUGGCUAAGUUGGGAGCAGACCUGACAUUUAGACCCCUACAUUGUCUAUACUGAAGCUUUUGCUCUCUAAGAAGAGAGAGUUUGGUUUGGGAAGAAGUUAUAAAUAAUUAGAGAAUAGAGGGGUUAACAUCCAUACCUAUCUAUAGGCCUCAAACCCAAACCAUUUUUAAUAUAGAUGUGAGAUUCUAGGCAAAAGUUGAAAUACAAAAGCUCAUUGAAUUAUUAUUUAAAGACUUUACCAGACAAACAGCACUCUUUGGUUUGCAAAUUACAGCACCAGGGGGCAAUAAUAUGGAGGCCAUUGUCUGCACGGAUCACACCACCACUCAGGCACCAGCUCAUGAUGGACUGAAAGCAUAUAGAGACAGCACAUGGGUAAAGGCAUUCUCAGGCUCCUCAGGGGCACUGCACUGCUGGCAAUGCUCAGUCUCCUUUGUUCAGCUUCGCAGAUCGUGACCAUGACAGAUGGGAACUGGAAAAGAGGAGAAAAAACCUGGAAGAUAUAGGCAGUGACUUCAACCAAAAGACUGGUUUGUGAGCACAUGUUAAUAUGACGCCAUCAUGGUGGACUCCCAGAAAUACUAGGGAGACAUUUUGAAGAUGCCCGAUUUCCUGUUGAAGCAGAGCAGUGAUGGACAACGGAUCUAUACUAUGUUGAGUUACCAGCAAUUGCCUUCUAAACAACAAAAGCUUUAUUCUGAAAUCACAAAACAGAGCAAGAAUAUUUGAGAGGGCUGCACCUGGGCUAGGGGAUGAAUCAGAGCUACAGCUGUGGCCUAAGCCAUAGACGCUGCAACACGGGAUCUGAGCCACAUCUGCAACCUAUACUACAGCUUGCCGCAAUGUCAGUUCCUGAACCCAAUGUGAACCUAUCAGUGGUCUGAGAACACUGGAAUUUGUAAAUUCACAUGCUACUGAAACACUGAACAUAGAGUGUGCUCAAAAUUCUUGGAAAAUCAAGAUAGUCCUACUCCGUAUCUCCCUUAAUGUGGUUCUCUGAAGACGAUAUUGUUACAGAUUCUGGAUACCUGGAGUAUAUUUAACAGGCUGGAGCACAAAGGCUAAAGACCUCCCUGAACUGGUCUGAGAACAAUUCCAUUCCACAUCCCUUGGCAAGCCCCUGGGGCUGGCCUAGAUGGGUAAAUUCUGAUGUGUUAUCAGAACAGAGAUAGCACACACUUUCUCAGGAGGGCUGGCCAGGUGUACCUGUCUGUACAAGCCCUUUGUCUUCUGAGGUUGUACUCACAGCAUCUUCUACCAUCAGGCAAAAAUGACAGAUAUAGGCCAUUUUAGCCUCUUAUAUCCACGAGCUUGUAUUCUGUUUUUAAAAAUAGCAGUAUUUCAUUUAUCUAAAAUUGGGUUUUUUUCAAGGUGUUCUCAGAGAGAUUAAAUCAUCAUAUAAAACAUUUUUUCCAGAAAAUUAGAACCAUCAUAGAUAGAAUUUUUUAAAAUUAUUGUUGUUGAAAGAAGUCUUCAUAGUAUAUGGUAUAUGUUAAGUUCUGCCUUAAUAAAAAUAUGCAACAUAUAAAA
Molecule: long non-coding RNA, 3283 nt
Filed under: Sus scrofa (pig)
Lineage: Eukaryota; Metazoa; Chordata; Mammalia; Artiodactyla; Suidae
Description: lncRNA (ENSSSCG00030031540.1)
Source: RNAcentral